UGACGUCAAGUCAUCAUGGCCCUUACGACCAGGGCUACACACGUGCUACAAUGGCGCAUACAAAGAGAAGCGACCUCGCGAGAGCAAGCGGACCUCAUAAAGUGCGUCGUAGUCCGGAUUGGAGUCUGCAACUCGACUCCAUGAAGUCGGAAUCGCUAGUAAUCGUGGAUCAGAAUGCCACGGUGAAUACGUUCCCGGGCCUU
This 203-nucleotide ribosomal RNA is filed under the name uncultured Enterobacteriaceae bacterium. RNAcentral's name for it is "partial 16S ribosomal RNA". It matches the Rfam family "Bacterial small subunit ribosomal RNA", at positions 1180 to 1382 of the family's 1533-position model. The record is from RNAcentral. Lineage: Bacteria; Pseudomonadati; Pseudomonadota; Gammaproteobacteria; Enterobacterales; Enterobacteriaceae.